GACGAACCGAGCGAACGUUGUUCGGAAUAACUGGGCUUAAAGGGCGCGUAGGCGGGCCGCCAAGUCCGAGGUGAAAUCCUCCGGCUCAACCGGAGAACUGCCUCGGAUACUGGAGGCCUCGAGGCGGGUAGGGGCACGCGGAACUGUGGGUGGAGCGGUGAAAUGCGUUGAUAUCCACAGGAACUCCGGUGGCGAAGGCGGCGUGCUGGACCCGAUCUGACGCUGAGGCGCGAAAGCCAGGGGAGCGAACGGG
RNAcentral lists this ribosomal RNA (253 nucleotides) under uncultured bacterium. RNAcentral describes it as "partial 16S ribosomal RNA". It matches the Rfam family "Bacterial small subunit ribosomal RNA", at positions 524 to 776 of the family's 1533-position model. The record is from RNAcentral.